Molecule: ribosomal RNA, 305 nt
Filed under: uncultured bacterium
Lineage: Bacteria
Description: partial 16S ribosomal RNA
Rfam family: Bacterial small subunit ribosomal RNA
Source: RNAcentral
ACAGCAGUCGCCACGGGAAUACGAAGGGGGCUAGCGUUGCUCGGAAUGACUGGGCGUAAAGGGCGCGUAGGCGGCGAUCAAAGUCAGGCGUGAAAUUCCUGGGCUCAACCUGGUGGCUGCGCUUGAUACUUGGUUGCUUGAGUGGGGAAGAGGGUCGUGGAAUUCCCAGUGUAGAGGUGAAAUUCGUAGAUAUUGGGAAGAACACCGGUGGCGAAGGCGGCGACCUGGUCCUUGACUGACGCUGAGGCACGAAAGCGUGGGGAGCAAACAGGAUUAGAUACCCGCGUAGUCCCUGUCUCUUAUAC